GCAUGUUUAGAUUUGGGAUUUGACCUGUACAUGGUUCUGUCUCAGUGUACGACAUGCUAAACUAACUUGACUCCAAACCAUUGGCUGGUCUUCUACAGUAGACCAAAUCACUGAAGUGAGUCGGACAUUA
Molecule: small nucleolar RNA, 130 nt
Filed under: Hucho hucho (huchen)
Lineage: Eukaryota; Metazoa; Chordata; Actinopteri; Salmoniformes; Salmonidae
Description: Small nucleolar RNA SNORA42/SNORA80 family (ENSHHUG00000033014.1)
Source: RNAcentral